CCUACGGGAGGCUGCAGUGGGGAAUAUUGGACAAUGGGGGGAACCCUGAUCCAGCCAUGCCGCGUGUGUGAAGAAGGCCCUCGGGUUGUAAAGCACUUUCAGUGAGGAAGAACGCCUGGUGGUUAAUACCCAUCAGGAAAGACAUCACUCACAGAAGAAGCACCGGCUAACUCCGUGCCAGCAGCCGCGGUAAUACGGAGGGUGCGAGCGUUAAUCGGAAUUACUGGGCGUAAAGCGCGCGUAGGUGGCUUGAUAAGCCGGUUGUGAAAGCCCCGGGCUCAACCUGGGAACGGCAUCCGGAACUGUCAAGCUAGAGUGCAGGAGAGGAAGGUAGAAUUCCCGGUGUAGCGGUGAAAUGCGUAGAGAUCGGGAGGAAUACCAGUGGCGAAGGCGGCCUUCUGGACUGACACUAACACUGAGGUGCGAAAGCGUGGGUAGCAAACAGGAUUAGAUACCCUUGUAGUC
Molecule: ribosomal RNA, 465 nt
Filed under: Vreelandella stevensii
Lineage: Bacteria; Pseudomonadati; Pseudomonadota; Gammaproteobacteria; Oceanospirillales; Halomonadaceae
Description: partial 16S ribosomal RNA
Rfam family: Bacterial small subunit ribosomal RNA
Source: RNAcentral